UUUAAUUUAAUUUUUGGUUACCCCCACGCCGUGGGCCCAAAAAUUGGUUUUUAUUUUUACCCUCCUAAAUUUUAUUUUCUUAAAUUUUAAAAAGAAAAUGCCCCCCCUUGUUAUAUAAAUUUUUUUUAAAAAAAAAAAAUUUCUCCCCAAAAAUUUAAAAGGAAAAAAGGUUUUAAAAAAUUUUUUUUUAACAAAAAAAAAUUUUUUU
This 208-nucleotide ribosomal RNA is filed under the name Attacus atlas. RNAcentral describes it as "partial 12S ribosomal RNA". The record is from RNAcentral. Lineage: Eukaryota; Metazoa; Arthropoda; Insecta; Lepidoptera; Saturniidae.